AGGUCGAUGCCCGAGCAAUUAAUAGGGAUGGAUUAUAAAUUCAUUGGCAAUAUGUCUACGCUAGUUCAAAUCCAGCUCGGCCCA
Molecule: non-coding RNA, 84 nt
Organism: Gossypium hirsutum (cotton)
Lineage: Eukaryota; Viridiplantae; Streptophyta; Magnoliopsida; Malvales; Malvaceae
Source: Rfam